ACAGUGACAGAGUUAGGGAGGGAGUGACUAGUGACAGAGAGGGAUGGAGUGACUAGUGACAGAGAGGGAUGGGGUGACUAGUGACAGUCACCCCCUCCCUCUGUCACUAGUCACUCCCUCCCUAGUCAUUCCCUCCCUCUGUCACUAGUCACCUCCUCCCUCCCUCACUUUGCCACUAGUCAUCUUUCCUCCCUCCCCCACUCUGCCACUAGU
Non-coding RNA from Pelobates cultripes (western spadefoot toad), 213 nucleotides. The record is from the annotation of a GenBank genome assembly. Lineage: Eukaryota; Metazoa; Chordata; Amphibia; Anura; Pelobatidae.